ACGGGACCGCACAAGCAGCGGAGCGUGUGGUUUAAUUUCGAUGCUACACGAAGAACCUUACCAGGGUUUGACAUGCAAGUGGUAGGAAACUGAAAAGGGACCGACCCUUCGGGAGCUUGCACAGGUGCUGCAUGGCUGUCGUCAGCUCGUGUCGUGAGAUGUUCGGUUAAGUCCGCUAACGAGCGCAACCCUCACUGUGUGUUAUAUGUGUCACACGGGACUGCCGGUUUUAAGCCGGAGGAAGGUGGGAUGACGUCAAGUCAGCAUGGCCUUUAUAUCCUGGGCUACACACACGCUACAAUGGUCGGUACAAUAGGUUGCCAAGCCGCGAGGCGGAGCCAAUCCAAAAAAGCCGGCCUCAGUUCAGAUUGUAGGCUGCAACUCGCCUGCAUGAAGUUGGAGUUGCUAGUAAACGCAGGUCAGCCAUACUGCGUUGAAUACGUUCCCGGGGCUU
Molecule: ribosomal RNA, 454 nt
Filed under: uncultured Anaerolineaceae bacterium
Lineage: Bacteria; Bacillati; Chloroflexota; Anaerolineae; Anaerolineales; Anaerolineaceae
Description: bacterial SSU rRNA
Rfam family: Bacterial small subunit ribosomal RNA
Source: RNAcentral